RNAcentral lists this ribosomal RNA (210 nucleotides) under Solanum tuberosum (potato). Its description in RNAcentral is "rRNA LSU_rRNA_eukarya". It matches the Rfam family "Eukaryotic large subunit ribosomal RNA", at positions 1171 to 1379 of the family's 3401-position model. Lineage: Eukaryota; Viridiplantae; Streptophyta; Magnoliopsida; Solanales; Solanaceae. The record is from RNAcentral.
AAAGCCGGCUUAUGUUUCCAAAAUGCAUUCUAACCGAGAUCCAACAAAGGGUGUUGGUCAAUUAAGACAACAGGAAAGUGGUCAUGGAAGUCAAAAUCCACUAAGGAGUUUGUACCAACUCACUUGCCGAGUAAACUAGCCCCGAAAAUGGAUAGGCACUUAAGCGCGCGACCUACACUUAGCCGUCGGGGUUAGUGCCAGACCCCGAUG